Molecule: ribosomal RNA, 429 nt
Filed under: uncultured bacterium
Lineage: Bacteria
Description: partial 16S ribosomal RNA
Rfam family: Bacterial small subunit ribosomal RNA
Source: RNAcentral
AACGAACGCUGGCGGCAGGCCUAACACAUGCAAGUCGAGCGCCCCGCAAGGGGAGCGGCGGACGGGUGAGUAACGCGUGGGAAUAUGCCCUUUGCUACGGAAUAGUCUCGGGAAACUGGGGGUAAUACCGUAUACGCCCUUUGGGGGAAAGAUUUAUCGGCGAAGGAUUAGCCCGCGUUGGAUUAGGUAGUUGGUGGGGUAAUGGCCUACCAAGCCGACGAUCCAUAGCUGGUUUGAGAGGAUGAUCAGCCACACUGGGACUGAGACACGGCCCAGACUCCACGGGGGGCGGGAGGGGGGAAACUUUAAAAAAGGGGGGAACCCCGACUCUGGCCAGCCGGGGGAAGGAAGAAGGGCUUUGGGUUGAAAAGCCCCUUUCGGUGGGAAAGAAAAUGCGGGAACAAGAAGAAGAACCCCGGGUAACCCCGG